GGAAUAAAUUAAAGUAAUAACCAAUAAAUAAUCACAGUGAAUCGCAAGAGACAUGUAUUAUUAUUUAUUUGAGUUGAACAAAUAAAAUAAUUGAAAAUAUUAUAAAAAAUUUAAAAUUAUAUUAUUUUUUUAUUUUAGAAAAAAAACAAUGUAAAAAGUUAGUUUUGAUAUUUGUUAAAAUUUAAUUUAUUCUCCCGUCUUGUAACACGGGCCAAGGAGUUCAGUAUAUAAGCAAAUUCUAUAAUAUGAGCAAUAUUAUGUAGAAUAUAAUGAAAGUAAAUAAUUAAUUUUCUAUUAAAACCACUUUUUUAAAAACCUAAUGGUUUGAAAAAUUUAGAGUGAAAGUUUAUCUGCUGAGACCCGAAAGAUGGUGAUCUAUGACUGAAUAGGGUGAAGUCAGGGGAAAACUCUGAUGGAAGCUCGAAGGGAUUCUGACGUGCAAAUCGAUCCUCAAAUUUGG
This 460-nucleotide ribosomal RNA is filed under the name uncultured eukaryote. RNAcentral's name for it is "partial 28S ribosomal RNA". The stretch from base 212 to 460 matches the Rfam family "Eukaryotic large subunit ribosomal RNA", at positions 666 to 914 of the family's 3401-position model. The record is from RNAcentral.